UACCAGCACCCCGAGUGGUCGGGACGAUUAUUGGGCCUAAAGCAUCCGUAGCCGGCCUUACAAGUCCUCCGUUAAAUCCAGCUGCUUAACAGAUGGGCUGCGGAGGAUACUAUAAGACUAGGAGGCAGGGGAGGCAAGCGGUACUCAGUGGGUAGGGGUAAAAUCCGUUGAUCCAUUGAAGACCACCAGUGGCGAAGGCGGCUUGCCAGAAUGCGCUCGACGGUGAGGGAUGAAAGCUGGGGGAGCAAACCGG
Molecule: ribosomal RNA, 253 nt
Filed under: uncultured bacterium
Lineage: Bacteria
Description: partial 16S ribosomal RNA
Rfam family: Archaeal small subunit ribosomal RNA
Source: RNAcentral